Molecule: long non-coding RNA, 377 nt
Organism: Triticum aestivum (bread wheat)
Lineage: Eukaryota; Viridiplantae; Streptophyta; Magnoliopsida; Poales; Poaceae
Exons: 2
Source: RefSeq, a predicted model, not a curated record
CUUCGAUGGCCCUCCCUCAGAAAAAAAGGUUCGGCGUGCUCGCAGAACUCUGUUCGCGCUCUCCGCGAAGUCCCCAACCCCAACCAUGGCGAUCGGCGAAACUGCAAGGGCGAGCAGCGGUCACGGAAACCUGUCACCCUAUCCGAUGAAUCCCGGAGGGAUCAGGGGGAGCAGAGUGGUGCACAACAGUGGUAUUACCAAAUCACAAAUCUUUUGCUUACAUCAGCAAGUGGACACCUUGUGAGCAAAACUCAAGCUUAGGUCCAGAUUUCUUCAAUCAGUGGUGCUUCAAUUAUGCGUAGGGAAAUUCAAUAUUCUAUUAUUCAACAAAACAAAGUUUCAACUGUGGUAUUGCAGUUUCAACUUGCGAUUUUCUC